UUAGAAAAAAGGAACAUUUAGAAUGGGCUUAUAGGUUUGGGCAUAUGUUUGCAACAAAUAUGACGCUUUUGCCCUUCGUCUUCAACACCAUCGUCUUCAACACCAUUGUCCAGACAUCGAUUUUGACGAUUCAUAGUGUUAUUAACAACACCAUCGUCUUCAACAAAAUUUUCCAGCCAACAUGUCUAUUCUGAUUAACCCAAUCAAUCAAAAUAAAUGAUUUUUGAUUGAAGAAAUCUAAACCCUAAAGGGAUACUAUCUAGGGAACCCUUGGGUUCUAAUCUUAAACACUCCAAUUCAUUAUUAAUUCUAAACCAAAUUUGAUUUUUAUUGUCAAUAGAGUUCAUCAUCAUCGUCACCAACUAAUAACAGAGGAUUUGGAAAAGUAAUUCUAGAGAUCCAAACUAUCACCUUCGCUUCUCACUAUCGCUCAACUCACCAUCGUCGUUGAAACUCACCAUCGUCGCCAACGCUAAUUGGAGGUCGAGAUCUUGCCGUCUUUUUCAUCACGAGACAUGAUUCAUGAGUCACCGCCGUUGCUUCUUACCGUUGUCAAAAUCGUUGUUGUUGCAGGAGCUCAAUCACCAUUGUAGGUUCAGUGGUAAGGAGCCGGCCCGGGAGAAGCGUUGCCAAAAAAGAAUAAAGACAAAGGUAACAAAUAAACAAAGAAGACACAACAGUGAAUUCAUCUAAUCCAAAGUUGUAUGUGGUUUCCGAAAUGCUUCCUUUGUCUUGUUCCGAAUCUCUCUGUCGAUGAACUUGAAAAUGGUGUUUCACGUUCAUUCAAUAAAAAAUAACAACCAUAGUGUACACAGAGACUGAUAGUGAAAUAAAG
RNAcentral lists this small RNA (835 nucleotides) under Arabidopsis thaliana (thale cress). RNAcentral's name for it is "putative long intergenic non-coding RNA". Lineage: Eukaryota; Viridiplantae; Streptophyta; Magnoliopsida; Brassicales; Brassicaceae. The record is from RNAcentral.